RNAcentral lists this transfer RNA (69 nucleotides) under Hoplobatrachus rugulosus (rugose frog). RNAcentral's name for it is "tRNA-Pro". It matches the Rfam family "tRNA". Rfam says of the family: Transfer RNA (tRNA) molecules are approximately 80 nucleotides in length. Their secondary structure includes four short double-helical elements and three loops (D, anti-codon, and T loops). The record is from RNAcentral. Lineage: Eukaryota; Metazoa; Chordata; Amphibia; Anura; Dicroglossidae.
CAGGACAUAAUUUAUUGAGAAUACUGGCUUUGGGGGCCAGAGGGAAGGGUGGAAUUCCCUUUGUCCUGA